AGUGAACGCUGGCGGUAGGCCUAACACAUGCAAGUCGAACGGCAGCACAGUAAGAGCUUGCUCUUACGGGUGGCGAGUGGCGGACGGGUGAGGAAUACAUCGGCAUCUACUUUUUCGUGGGGGAUAACGUAGGGAAACUUAUGCUAAUACCGCAUAUGACCUACGGGUGAAAGCAGGGGAUCUUCGGACCUUGCGCGAUUGAAUGAGCCGAUGUCGGAUUAGCUAGUUGGCGGGGUAAAGGCCCACCAAGGCGACGAUCCGUAGCUGGUCUGAGAGGAUGAUCAGCCACACUGGAACUGAGACACGGUCCAGACUCCUACGGGAGGCAGCAGUGGGGAAUAUUGGACAAUGGGCGCAAGCCUGAUCCAGCCAUACCGCGUGAGUGAAGAAGGCCUUCGGGUUGUAAAGCCCUUUUGUUAGGAAAGAAAAGCAGCGGAUGAAUACCCCGCUGUUCUGACGGUACCCAAAGAAUAAGCACCGGCUAACUUCGUG
This 492-nucleotide ribosomal RNA is filed under the name uncultured bacterium. RNAcentral describes it as "partial 16S ribosomal RNA". It matches the Rfam family "Bacterial small subunit ribosomal RNA", at positions 29 to 507 of the family's 1533-position model. The record is from RNAcentral.